Molecule: long non-coding RNA, 494 nt
Organism: Vombatus ursinus (common wombat)
Lineage: Eukaryota; Metazoa; Chordata; Mammalia; Diprotodontia; Vombatidae
Exons: 3
Source: RefSeq, a predicted model, not a curated record
UUUUCCAGUUUUAACUUGCCAAAUGCAACCUUAAUCUAGUUCAUUUGCAUAAGCUUUAAAAUAGGCCUUUAGAACAAAUGUAAAUGGAUCUUCAAAGAACAAUAUUUUGAUGGGUUCUCCCUGUAAAUGACUCAAAAACAUAUGGAUGACAUUUCAUGAGGAUUUCCCAGAGAAACCUGCUCUCCAUUGGUAUGCAUAAAAGCCUUACUGAGGUUGGCAAGAGAGAAGACGAUGACGAAUCCAGCAGUUUGCUAAAAUAUAGGUCACCUUAAAUCAUCACUUAGGAAAUGGCUAGUCUUCUUUUCAUGGCAAGACACUGAAGAAAAUUGCACUGAGUAGCUGCCUGGAGAUUGAUGCAGUGGGAAUAAUCUAUUUCUUCUUCUCAGUGAGCAAAUACCCAGCAGGAAAGUCCUUGAGCCUAAAGCGGGAACUUCCACAAAGUCACCGGUGCCAUCAUCAUAAAUGAAUGAAUGACUGAAUCAUGGGUUGCUGUU